AGAGAAAUUUGGAUUAAUACCCCAUAAUAUAUUUGAUAAGGCAUCUUAUUAAUAUUAAAGCUUCGGCACUUGAUGAUGGGUGUGCGGCUGAUUAGAUAGUUGGCGGGGUAACGGCCCACCAAGUCUACGAUCAGUAGCUGAUGUGAGAGCAUGAUCAGCCACACGGGCACUGAGACACGGGCCCGACUCCUACGGGAGGCAGCAGUAAGGAUAUUGGACAAUGGACGAAAGUCUGAUCCAGCCAUGCCGCGUGAAGGAUUAAGGUCCUCUGGAUUGUAAACUUCUUUUAUAUGGGACGAAAAAAGGGCAUUCUUGUUCACUUGGCGGUACCAUAUGAAUAAGCACCGGCUAACUCCGUG
This 359-nucleotide ribosomal RNA is filed under the name uncultured bacterium. Its description in RNAcentral is "bacterial SSU rRNA". It matches the Rfam family "Bacterial small subunit ribosomal RNA", at positions 150 to 507 of the family's 1533-position model. The record is from RNAcentral.